RNAcentral lists this ribosomal RNA (468 nucleotides) under uncultured bacterium. RNAcentral describes it as "partial 16S ribosomal RNA". It matches the Rfam family "Bacterial small subunit ribosomal RNA", at positions 28 to 507 of the family's 1533-position model. The record is from RNAcentral.
GACGAACGCUGGCGGCGUGCUUAACACUUGCAAGUCGAACGGAAAGGCCCUGCUUUUGUGGGGUGCUCGAGUGGCGAACGGGUGAGUAACAAGUGAGUAACCUGCCCUUGACUUUGGGAUAACUUCAGGAAACUGGGGCUAAUACCGGAUAGGAGCUCCUGCUGCAUGGUGGGGGUUGGAAAGUUUCGGCGGUUGGGGAUGGACUCGCGGCUUAUCAGCCUGUUGGUGGGGUAGUGGCUUACCAAGGCUUUGACGGGUAGCCGGCCUGAGAGGGUGACCGGCCACAUUGGGACUGAGAUACGGCCCAGACUCCUACGGGAGGCAGCAGUGGGGAAUAUUGCACAAUGGGCGGAAGCCUGAUGCAGCAACGCCGCGUGCGGGAUGACGGCCUUCGGGUUGUAAACCGCUUUCGCCUGUGACGAAGCGUGAGUGACGGUAAUGGGUAAAGAAGCACCGGCUAACUACGUG